This 746-nucleotide ribosomal RNA is filed under the name uncultured Finegoldia sp. RNAcentral's name for it is "bacterial SSU rRNA". It matches the Rfam family "Bacterial small subunit ribosomal RNA", at positions 28 to 776 of the family's 1533-position model. Lineage: Bacteria; Bacillati; Bacillota; Tissierellia; Tissierellales; Peptoniphilaceae. The record is from RNAcentral.
GACGAACGCUGGCGGCGUGCUUAACACAUGCAAGUCGAACGGGAUUUAGUAAACAGAAGCCUCGGUGGAAGAUUACUAAUGAGAGUGGCGAACGGGUGAGUAACGCGUGAGCAACCUGCCUAUGACAGUGGGAUAGCCUCGGGAAACCGGGAUUAAUACCGCAUAAAAUCGUAGAAACACAUGUUUCAACGGUCAAAGAUUUAUCGGUCAUAGAUGGGCUCGCGUCUGAUUAGCUAGUUGGUGAGAUAACAGCCCACCAAGGCGACGAUCAGUAGCCGGUCUGAGAGGAUGAACGGCCACAUUGGAACUGAGACACGGUCCAAACUCCUACGGGAGGCAGCAGUGGGGAAUAUUGCACAAUGGGGGAAACCCUGAUGCAGCGACGCCGCGUGAACGAAGAAGGUAUUCGUACCGUAAAGUUCUGUCCUAUGGGAAGAUAAUGACAGUACCAUAGAAGAAAGCUCCGGCUAAAUACGUGCCAGCAGCCGCGGUAAUACGUAUGGAGCGAGCGUUGUCCGGAAUUAUUGGGCGUAAAGGGUACGCAGGCGGUUUAAUAAGUCGAAUGUUAAAGAUCGGGGCUCAACCCCGUAAAGCAUUGGAAACUGAUAAACUUGAGUAGUGGAGAGGAAAGUGGAAUUCCUAGUGUAGUGGUGAAAUACGUAGAUAUUAGGAGGAAUACCAGUAGCGAAGGCGACUUUCUGGACACAAACUGACGCUGAGGUACGAAAGCGUGGGGAGCAAACAGG